CCUACGGGAGGCAGCAGUGAGGAAUAUUGGUCAAUGGCCGAGAGGCUGAACCAGCCAAGUCGCGUGAGGGAAGACGGCCCUACGGGUUGUAAACCUCUUUUGUCGGGGAGCAAAGCGAGUCACGUGUGACUCAUUGAGAGUACCCGAAUAAAACGCAUCGGCAAACUCCGUGCCAGCAGCCGCGGUAAUACGGGGGAUGCGAGCGUUAUCCGGAUUUGUGGGGUUAAAGGGGAGCGCAGGCGGAGGUGCAAGUCAGCGGUAAAAUCGCGGGGCUCAACCCCGUACUGCCGUGGAAACUGCAUCUCUUGAGUGCGCGAGAAGUAUGCGGAAUGCGUGGUGUAGCGGUGAAAUGCAUAGAUAUCACGCAGAACUCCGAUUGCGAAGGCAGCAUACCGGCGCGCAACUGACGCUCAUGCACGAAAGCGUGGGUAUCGAACAGGAUUAGAUACCCCUGUAGUC
Molecule: ribosomal RNA, 459 nt
Filed under: uncultured bacterium
Lineage: Bacteria
Description: partial 16S ribosomal RNA
Rfam family: Bacterial small subunit ribosomal RNA
Source: RNAcentral